Myotis lucifugus (little brown bat) is the source of this 969-nucleotide long non-coding RNA. RefSeq lists it as uncharacterized. Lineage: Eukaryota; Metazoa; Chordata; Mammalia; Chiroptera; Vespertilionidae. The record is from RefSeq and is a predicted model, not a curated record. The transcript has 2 exons.
GGUGGACAUGGAGAGAGGCGAUUUCUGCAGAGAAAAAUAAUAGCUCCGGGGCCUGCCGAGGGACGAGGAGCCCUACUUUGUUUUGUAAUAACGUUUAUUAUUGUUUCUGUUCUCAUCGAUGGGCAUAACUUCUACGCAGCCCCGUGGAGGGUGCGCGCGAGCUUUUUUGCACGCCGCUGGGAACGCGCUGGGUCCGUUGGGAAUCGCGCUGCGUAGACGCCCCCGGCGGCGGGAGAGGAGAGCGAGGCCUGCCCUGCACGGAGCCGCGAGCCAGCGCCGGCCUUCCGGAGGCCCGGGUUUCCGGCCUGCGGGGGGCAGCUGCGACAGAAGGGUCCGGAACAGGGGGACCCGAGACGCGCGCUCCCCGGCCACAGUCACAUCCGGAAAACACUGGGGUGCAACGGACAGGUUCCCAUUGGAAAAGCUCCUGGUGAUGUUUCCGGAGGGCCCUGGGUUUGCUGGUCACCAUGGCAACCUCGGAGCCCCAUCGAACAACAACCGGGCGCCCCGGGGGGACCAGCGCGCAUGUCCUGCGUCCUGAGGCCUGCAAGGCGCUGUCCCUGGGGCUGCGGGCUAUUCGGAGGCCCCCAAAGUAGGUUCCACAGGCGGGGGCAGAAAAAUCCCCUCUUUUUCCAACGGAGGAGAAAGUCGAGAUUUAGUACAAUCUCUGAGAGAGGUUCAGAUCCUGAGGGAAAGCCCUGCCUAGAGUUCAGAGCGCUGACCUGGGGGUGAGGAGGGGGGAGAAGCUGCAUGGGCCUGGGCUGGGCACCUGGGACGCAGGAGUCCCCGCAUCUCUUCACACGGACUGCCCACCCCCAUCCGCCCCCAGGCUCCCCCGUCUGUGUCUGUCCGACCUUGCCUGGAAUAACCUCUCCUAAAGGGACCGAGGAAGGUCCAGGAAGCUGGCGGCAUCCGUGUCUGCGAGGUCUAUUGCGGGAAAGAAUAAAUUGCACUCCAUUUCCUUCUAGA